Molecule: ribosomal RNA, 1448 nt
Filed under: uncultured organism
Description: SSU rRNA
Rfam family: Bacterial small subunit ribosomal RNA
Source: RNAcentral
GCUAUCUACAGGCUUAACACAUGCAAGUCGAGGGGCAGCAUGGUCUUAGCUUGCUAAGGCCGAUGGCGACCGGCGCACGGGUGAGUAACGCGUAUCCAACCUGCCUUACACUCUUGGACAGCCUUCUGAAAGGGAGAUUAAUACAAGAUGUUAUCAUGAGUAAGCAUUUUCGCAUGAUUAAAGGUUUACCGGUGUAAGAUGGGGAUGCGUUCCAUUAGAUAGUAGGCGGGGUAACGGCCCACCUAGUCUUCGAUGGAUAGGGGUUCUGAGAGGAAGGUCCCCCACAUUGGAACUGAGACACGGUCCAAACUCCUACGGGAGGCAGCAGUGAGGAAUAUUGGUCAAUGGACGAGAGUCUGAACCAGCCAAGUAGCGUGAAGGAUGAAGGUUCUAUGGAUUGUAAACUUCUUUUAUACGGGAAUAAACGGAUCCACGUGUGGAUUUUUGCAUGUACCGUAUGAAUAAGGAUCGGCUAACUCCGUGCCAGCAGCCGCGGUAAUACGGAGGAUCCGAGCGUUAUCCGGAUUUAUUGGGUUUAAAGGGAGCGUAGAUGGGUUGUUAAGUCAGUUGUGAAAGUUUGCGGCUCAACCGUAAAAUUGCAAUUGAUACUGGCAGUCUUGAGUACAGUUGAGGUAGGCGGAAUUCGUGGUGUAGCGGUGAAAUGCUUAGAUAUCACGAAGAACUCCGAUUGCGAAGGCAGCUUACUAACCUGUAACUGACAUUGAUGCUCGAAAGUGUGGGUAUCAAACAGGAUUAGAUACCCUGGUAGUCCACACGGUAAACGAUGAAUACUCGCUGUAGGCGAUAUACAGUCUGCGGCCAAGCGAAAGCAUUAAGUAUUCCACCUGGGGAGUACGCCGGCAACGGUGAAACUCAAAGGAAUUGACGGGGGCCCGCACAAGCGGAGGAACAUGUGGUUUAAUUCGAUGAUACGCGAGGAACCUUACCCGGGCUUAAAUUGCAACCGAAUAUGGCGGAAACGCUAUAGCUAGCAAUAGCGGUUGUGAAGGUGCUGCAUGGUUGUCGUCAGCUCGUGCCGUGAGGUGUCGGCUUAAGUGCCAUAACGAGCGCAACCCUUGCCGAUAGUUACUAACAGGUUAUGCUGAGGACUCUGUCGGGACUGCCAUCGUAAGAUGUGAGGAAGGUGGGGAUGACGUCAAAUCAGCACGGCCCUUACGUCCGGGGCUACACACGUGUUACAAUGGGGGGUACAGAGGGCUGCUACCACGCAAGUGGAUGCCAAUCCCAAAAACCUCUCUCAGUUCGGAUUGAAGUCUGCAACCCGACUUCAUGAAGCUGGAUUCGCUAGUAAUCGCGCAUCAGCCACGGCGCGGUGAAUACGUUCCCGGGCCUUGUACACACCGCCCGUCAAGCCAUGGGAGCCGGGGGUACCUGAAGUGCGUAACCGCAAGGAGCGCCCUAGGGUAAAACUGGUGACUGGGGCUAAG